AACAUUUGACAAUCGCUGCAAUUUGUAGAGGAAAGUCCAUGCUCGCACAACCUGUGAUGGUUGUAGUGAUUAUGCUAGGUUAAUAAAUAAGCCUAGGUAGUGAAAACUAACGGCUAGCGAUGUCCUAAAAGGUAACUCAUGGACUAGCUUAUAAAAGUGUCAAAGAGACGAGCUUUAUAGAAAUAUAAAGAAUGGAACGUGAUAAACCCCAUAAGCGAGAAACCCAAAUUUGGUAGGGGAACCCUAUAUGCAAAACGAAGCUAAAAGGGAUACGAAAGUAUAGAUAAAUGAUUGUCUAAUACAGAACAUGGCUUAUAAAU
RNAcentral lists this RNase P RNA (320 nucleotides) under Erysipelotrichaceae bacterium. RNAcentral describes it as "RNase P RNA component class B". It matches the Rfam family "Bacterial RNase P class B". Rfam says of the family: Ribonuclease P (RNase P) is a ubiquitous endoribonuclease, found in archaea, bacteria and eukarya as well as chloroplasts and mitochondria. Its best characterised activity is the generation of mature 5'-ends of tRNAs by cleaving the 5'-leader elements of precursor-tRNAs. Cellular RNase Ps are ribonucleoproteins. The record is from RNAcentral. Lineage: Bacteria; Bacillati; Bacillota; Erysipelotrichia; Erysipelotrichales; Erysipelotrichaceae.